GACUGAGUGGCGGACGGGUGAGUAACGCGUGGGUAACCUGCCUCAUACAGGGGGAUAACAGUUAGAAAUGGCUGCUAAUACCGCAUAAGCGCACGGUACUGCAUGGUACAGUGUGAAAAACUCCGGUGGUAUGAGAUGGACCCGCGUCUGAUUAGCUAGUUGGUGGGGUAACGGCCUACCAAGGCGACGAUCAAUAGCCGACCUGAGAGGGUGACCGGCCACAUUGGGACUGAGACACGGCCCAGACUCC
RNAcentral lists this ribosomal RNA (250 nucleotides) under uncultured Lachnospiraceae bacterium. Its description in RNAcentral is "partial 16S ribosomal RNA". It matches the Rfam family "Bacterial small subunit ribosomal RNA", at positions 89 to 339 of the family's 1533-position model. The record is from RNAcentral. Lineage: Bacteria; Bacillati; Bacillota; Clostridia; Lachnospirales; Lachnospiraceae.